GACGAACGCUGGCGGCGCGCCUAACACAUGCAAGUCGAACGGAGCUGAGAGAAGCUUGCUUUUCUUAGCUUAGUGGCGAACGGGUGAGUAACGCGUGAGUAACCUGCCCUGGAGUGGGGGACAACAGUUGGAAACGACUGCUAAUACCGCAUAAGCCCACGAUCCGGCAUCGGAUUGAGGGAAAAGGAUUUAUUCGCUUCAGGAUGGACUCGCGUCCAAUUAUCUAGUUGGUGAGGUAACGGCCCACCAAGGCGACGAUUGGUAGCCGGACUGAGAGGUUGAACGGCCACAUUGGGACUGAGACACGGCCCAGACUCCUACGGGAGGCAGCAGUGGGGGAUAUUGCACAAUGGGGGAAACCCUGAUGCAGCGACGCCGCGUGGAGGAAGAAGGUUUUCGGAUUGUAAACUCCUGUCGUUAGGGACGAUAAUGACGGUACCUAACAAGAAAGCACCGGCUAACUACGUG
This 468-nucleotide ribosomal RNA is filed under the name uncultured bacterium. RNAcentral's name for it is "partial 16S ribosomal RNA". It matches the Rfam family "Bacterial small subunit ribosomal RNA", at positions 28 to 507 of the family's 1533-position model. The record is from RNAcentral.